Molecule: long non-coding RNA, 2777 nt
Organism: Rosa chinensis
Lineage: Eukaryota; Viridiplantae; Streptophyta; Magnoliopsida; Rosales; Rosaceae
Exons: 3
Source: RefSeq, a predicted model, not a curated record
CUUUCAUGUUUAACAUAAUUACACAGUCCUCCUGUUGAUCUGCUGAGCCGCCACCUAAUUAUGGACUUCUCGCGUCUUCGUUUAUUUGCUACGCAGAAACAAAUAGAGGCUGUGCAUGUAGAAACAGCCAGAGAUUGAUAGAGAGAGAGAUGUGUUGGUUUCGGUUGUUUGCUUGAUUUGUGCAGAAAGAGUAGAUAAUUCUGGAGCUUUUCAGAAUUGAAGGAGGACGCACACAGUAUUAAAACAAAUUGAUUGAGAGCUGGGUUGCUUUUGAUCGGUGGUGUACAUAUCAUUUGGGUUACCUCUAGAGAAGCUACAUAGAUUGUGGGAAAAAAAUUUUGAGGCACCAGAAAGUGUUCCAUCCUCUUCUUCGUGUUCUUUGGUUUGUAUAUUCUGCUGCUCUCUGCACUUACUCAUUUUACUUAUUAUUUACAUGAUUACAUCCCUUUAGCUUUAGAGUAUUCCUACUCUUAAAUGGUGAAAUCAUGGGUAAGAAGUUCGAAUUGAAUUUCUAUUUUCUGAGAGCACUGUAUACAACUCUUUAGCAAGAAAGUAAAUAUAUGUUGGUUUGACUGAGAGCUUUAGUUUUCUGAAAGUCUGCUGCUUAAUAGAUUAAGCGUUUAAACUUAGGCAUUUGGGUUCAUUCCACGAAAGUAAAUGCAGCUUUACAUGAAGAACAUGACUUACAUUGCUUCCAUAUUGGUCUGAAAGUCAAUAGCUAUAAUCUAUUAGGGUAGUGUUUACAAUGUCAGUUAGAUAUCUUACAGUAUGGAGAGAACAAUUUUGCUUUGUUAUAGACUAGAGAUUGAAGAUUUCUCAGGGUUAUUUCUUUUUUAAGUUAAUGAUACUUCCUUAAUUUGAUUGCAGCUUAUCAAUUUUCAAGCAUAAGCUAGAAACUUUGCAGAACCCUUUAAAUGGCUUUCAUGUUGUUUUGCAAGUUUAUGGUAGUUUUAGCUGGUUCUUUCAAUUGGUUAUGCUUAAUUGACCCAACUAUUUGUCAUUUGGGUUCAUUAAUCCAGAUUCUGCAUCAUUUGCUUGAGUAUGCUUAAAUUGUUUUGUUGUAAAGCCUAUUAAACAUCCUAUCUGCAUUCUGAGUCUAAUGCUUUUCUGUUCCGUUUAAUUUCCUCUCUAAAUGAAAUCACAGGAACUGGGAAGUUUGGUUUCUCUAAAAUGGCAUUGGCUGAAUCAUACACUGAACAAAUGGUUUUACUAGAGUUAGGUUAUGAAUAUUGAGCCAUCGUUGGGAUACCUUCAGAGAAGUUUAAACAUCUUAUCAUACAUGUGCAUUACUUUGGCGAUCUGGUACUUAUCAUCUGCACUACAUUUGUUUUGAAGUUUAUAAUAUUUCCAGGCAAGUUUUUCAAAGUAAAGAGACCAAGGUUAAAACACUACUGCAGAUGAUGCUUUACACUUGAUCUCUGAACUUCAGGUAAGUUCAAUGUUGACAAGCUAUUAAUUGAUGCAAUUUUCUUUGUAUAUCUUUUCACACUUUCCUCUUUAUUGGUAGUACAGAGCAAAACUGUGAAUUUUUCGAAGUUUUGUGACAUUGUUAAAACACAAUUGCAUCCUUUCAAAAAAAAAAAAAAAAAACAAAAAAAGGGACCACACUUGCAUAUGAUGGUUUACACUUGAUCUCUGAACUGCAGGUAAGUUCAAUGUUGACAUGCUUUUAACUGAUGCAAUUUUCUUUAUAUAUAUAUAUAUAUAUAUAUAUAUAUAUAUAUAUAUUGAUUCUAUUCAAAACUUUGCUCUUUGUGUGUUGAGUACUGUAUGUCUCUGUCCUGGAAAAAUACUAGCAGAAGCAAGGAUUUUUGGGGGAUAGGGUUGGGCUUAUAUCUAGCCCAGUACAUUUUUCAUUCAGGGAAAAACCUAUUUCAGAAACACAUGAAUUGUGGCAUUUACUUAAAAUGUCAAUGAUCAUACAAGUCUUCCCUUCAGACAAAAUUGUUGUGACAUUUACAGAUUAGAUUUCAGAAUAUGAACUUUUGCUAUGUCAGUUUUGAAGAGAACAUGUUCAUUUUCAUUGUAUUACUAUCAUUUAUGGUAGCAAGAAGAAAACCAGAAUAGGGGUUACUGUAGUUUAUGAAUAGUAACUCCCUAAGGAACAGUGUGCUUCUAAUCUUCAAACCGGUAAGAAUAGCUUAUGAACAAUACUCCUCUUCGGAAUAGUGUGCUUCUAAUUCUAGACUUCUACUCUGACCGCUGUUUUUCUUCUUACUGUAGAAAGAAAGUUUCUUUUGAGUCUAAUCUCCAAACCUGAGUAGCAUGUUACAAUCAAUGAAUCCACGGAUCUUUUAUUCGAUAGUAAAGAGAUCCAAAUCUGUUUGUUGCAAUAUAAGGUCUGUAACUUUAGUGAGGAUAUGGUUAUGUAAAGCUUUAUCCAUUUUAUUUUUUUGUAGGUUUUGGGAUUUGCUUUGUUCAUACCUAAGAAGAUAAACAAACUGUAAUUAACUACUUCUAGAUUGUUUGUAUAUUUCCUUCUUUUUUAUUUAUUUUACAUUUAUUGCUUCUUCUGCAUAAUCAACUUAACUGGGAUUCUGCAUGUACAGUCUAUGGAUCUGCAGAUGAGUCCACUUCAGUUGAAGAUGCAUUUGAGUCAGCCAGUGAAUUAGAUUAGUGCUAAACCCCCAUUGUAGAAACUUGAUAUCACCUUCGUUAAAAUACCAUUCUUUCUCUUUACAAGCUUGAUUAAAAUAACAGUUGUUGUAAUAUGUAAAAUUAUUAUUGUAUUAUAUUAUGUAGAUCAUGAUUUGAUGAAAAAAAAAAAUGAAAAAAAA